GAGGAGCUCACCCUGGAGAUCCUGGAUCGCCGGAACGUGGGCAUCAGGGAGAAGGACUAUUGGACCUGCUUUGAGGUCAACGAGAGGGAGGAGGCAGAGCGCCCCCUGCACUUUGCGGAGAAGGUGCUGCCCAUCCUGCACGGGCUGGGCACGGACAGCCACCUGGUGGUGAAGAAGCACCAGGCCAUGGAGGCCAUGCUGCUGUACCUGGCCAGCCGUGUCGGUGACACCAAGCAUGGCAUGAUGAAGUUCCGUGAGGACCGCAGCCUCCUGGGCCUGGGCCUGCCCUCAGGUGGCUUCCACGAUCGCUACUUCAUCCUCAACAGCAGCUGCUUGCGGCUCUACAAGGAGGUCCGGGCUCUCAGGAUGGCACAGCAGUGGGGGACAACUGUAGACUCUCAAGACCCCUCCUGCUGUGGCCCUGGAUGGCCACUCUAGUGUGCCCUGUAGCCCCACUAAGCCCUGGCACCCGG
RNAcentral lists this small RNA (473 nucleotides) under Pan troglodytes (chimpanzee). RNAcentral's name for it is "processed transcript". The record is from RNAcentral. Lineage: Eukaryota; Metazoa; Chordata; Mammalia; Primates; Hominidae.